CUGGCUCAGAACGAACGCUGGUGGCGUGUCUUAUACAUGCAAGUCGAGCGAGGCAGCAAUGCCGAGCGGCGAACGGGUGAGUAACGCGUAAGCAAUCUGCCCCAUAUCAGGAAAUACCCGUGCCAACGCGCGGUUAAUGUCCAGGAGAGUGGCCCCCUGCAUGGAGGGUUGACUAGAGAUUUAUCGGUAUGGGAUGAGCUUGCGUCCGAUUAGCUAGUUGGCGGGGCAACGGCCCACCAAGGCGACGAUCGGUAGCCGGCCUGAGAGGGUGAUCGGCCACAUUGGGACUGAGAUACGGCCCAGACUCCUACGGGAGGCAGCAGUAGGGAAUAUUGCACAAUGGGGGAAACCCUGAUGCAGCAACGCCACGUGUGGGAAGAAGCAUUUCGGUGUGUAAACCACUGUCAUGAGGGAAUAAGGCCCGCCUUCGGACGGGAUUGAAUGUACCUUGAGAGGAAGCACCGGCAAACUUCGUGCCAGCAGCCGC
RNAcentral lists this ribosomal RNA (487 nucleotides) under uncultured bacterium. Its description in RNAcentral is "bacterial SSU rRNA". It matches the Rfam family "Bacterial small subunit ribosomal RNA", at positions 19 to 518 of the family's 1533-position model. The record is from RNAcentral.